RNAcentral lists this long non-coding RNA (725 nucleotides) under Equus asinus (donkey). RNAcentral describes it as "lncRNA (ENSEASG00005031963.1)". The record is from RNAcentral. Lineage: Eukaryota; Metazoa; Chordata; Mammalia; Perissodactyla; Equidae.
CUCCGCUCGACCUCUCCCUGGCCUGUCCUGUUCUGUUAUUGCCAGCAUCCUGGUGGGACAAUUUCAUGGGUGGAAUCAGAGUGCGUUAGAGUAAGAAACCUAAAGAGAUGCUAUUUUCUGCCUAAUCUGUUUUCUCCCCGUGGGUCAAUUUGGCUGCACUUUUAUUUUGAAAUCAAAGAACCUAGAAACAAAUGAGCAAACACCUUAUUAUUGAGAACCAUCUGCAGAAAAUCCCACGGAGCAGCUCCAAGGUCAAAGCUUAUCUGUUUUGCCUCAUGCACAAAACAGCCAGCACCAGGAGACCGGCAGGAUGGGAAAUCACAGAAUCAUAAGAAGUUUGGGUAAAAGGAAGCAUCUUCUUUCAGUUGAAUGUAAAGUGAGGACUCUAAGAGAGGCGAAACAAUUUGCUUAAGUCACACAGCUCUGAAGGAGCAGAACCUAUCUCAACCUGGAUCUACACGAUUCUAGGAGCUGUGUUCUGAACCACUCUCUCUCAUCAAUUACAACAAAUCCUUGAAUGACAAUCCACGGGAGCACGAAUAUAAGUUCCUUGAAAGCAGAGAUUUUGUCUGACUUGAUGACUGCCAUCCCCCCAGGACGCAGAACAGGGGCCAGGUCACGCUCAGGAUUUGAGCUGUAUCGAAAUCCACGCUCUGCCACCCAACGGCUGUGACCGUGAACAAGUUAUUUAACUGCUCUGAGGCUGGUUUCCUCAUCUACAAAAU